AGCUCUUUCGCCAAGUGGUAAGGCACAGGAUUUUGAUUCCUGCAUUCGUUGGUUCGAGUCCAACAAGGGCUGCUA
Molecule: transfer RNA, 75 nt
Filed under: Agathobacter rectalis
Lineage: Bacteria; Bacillati; Bacillota; Clostridia; Lachnospirales; Lachnospiraceae
Description: [Eubacterium] rectale tRNA-Gln
Rfam family: tRNA
About the family: Transfer RNA (tRNA) molecules are approximately 80 nucleotides in length.
Source: RNAcentral